This 497-nucleotide ribosomal RNA is filed under the name uncultured bacterium. RNAcentral describes it as "partial 16S ribosomal RNA". It matches the Rfam family "Bacterial small subunit ribosomal RNA", at positions 28 to 506 of the family's 1533-position model. The record is from RNAcentral.
GACGAACGCUGGCGGCGUGCCUAAUACAUGCAAGUCGAACGAGAGCGACCGGUGCUUGCACUGGUCAAUCUAGUGGCGAAUGGGUGAGUAACACGUGGGUAACCUGCCCAUCAGAGGGGGAUAACAUCCGGAAACGGAUGCUAAAACCGCAUAGGUCUUCGAGCCGCAUGGCUUGAAGAGGAAAAGAGGCGCAAGCUUCUGCUGAUGGAUGGACCCGCGGUGCAUUAGCUAGUUGGUGAGGUAACGGCUCACCAAGGCCGUGAUGCAUAGCCGACCUGAGAGGGUGAUCGGCCACAUUGGGACUGAGACACGGCCCAAACUCCUACGGGAGGCAGCAGUAGGGAAUCUUCCGCAAUGGACGCAAGUCUGACGGAGCAACGCCGCGUGAGUGAAGAAGGUUUUCGGAUCGUAAAACUCUGUUGUUAGAGAAGAACAAGUGCUAGAGUAACUGUUAGCGCCUUGACGGUAUCGAACCAGAAAGCCACGGCUAACUACGU